CUUGUGCUUCCCUGGUGGCCUGGAUCCUGGGUUCUCUUGCUUUCCUUCAAUAAUCAAGUAUUUUGUUUCUUUUCUCAUGACUGGCUGGACCUCUGUUAGAAAAACGGCGCGUGCUCAGAGUGAGGUAUCCUCUACAGGUCUGCUCCAAGGAUGACUGAGCUAGAUAUCAAUGUCAACAUCCAAAAGAGUUCACUGGUACAGAAAAGUACAAUUGAGCGAUGGUGAUAUCACUAAAAUUUUAUGGAGACAUUAGAGACCUCCUUGCGGCAGGACUUUAAGGACACUCCACAGCCAUGGUGCCUACGUUGCAGCUGCCUUCUCCACAAGCCUAGGUGUGGUCUGGUUGGCAGAGUAAUAAAACAAUGCCUCUGAGCAUCGAGGAAUUCCCCGAGAGGUGUUCCCUGGAGUCAACCUCAAGGUCUUCCCUCCAACUCGACAGCUAAGCAUCAGCUGUACCCCAGGAACCAAGAAGCCAUGUGAGGAAGUAAGGACUUUGUGGAAGCAAGGCUCUCUGUGAUGUCCUCCACUGCCCUGAAAUGCAAUGGAAUGAUAUAAAGAGAUGGCAGUUGUGAGAUCUUAUGUCGCUGAGAGGAGAACCAAGUGCUUGUUUUCGGGUCAGUUACCUCCAGAGUAAACAACUGUAAACCCAAAGAAGCCUAAAAGCAAAACAACAUACAGUGAUUGACUGGCUAUCAUCUCUGAUCUCUGACUCAUGCUCUACUCUCUUAACAGCACAGGCAUUGAUAGGUAGUAUGAUAUUAGAACCACAGGCAAAGUAUGGAUUACAGAAAAAAGGCAUGGAAACACAGGGAUGUGGUCAGGCUCCAAGGGAAAGCAUGUCCAUCAGCAUAAGGAAUCAUCCAGCCUUCAGCAGCAGCAGCUACAAUAUUUGGGAAGAAAUUAACCAUCCUGAUUCUUGGAUGUGGACCACCCAACAGCUGUUUCUUCUCAUUGAAUAAAUAGAAAAACUGAAGUCAAGAAACCAAGUUAUGACGUGCUCCACUAUGUUCAUCGCAGCCUUAUUUAUAAUAGCCAGAAAAUGGAAAGAACCGAGAUGCCCUUCAACAGAGGAAUGGAUACAGAAAAUGUGGUACAUCUACACAAUGGAAUAUUACUCAGCUAUCAAAAACAACGAGUCUAUGAAAUUCGUAGGCAAAUGGUUGGAACUGGAAAAUAUCAUCCUGAGUGAGCUAACCCAAUCACAGAAAGACAUACAUGGUAUGCACUCAUUGAUAAGUGGCUAUUAGCCCAAAUGCUUGAAUUACCCUAGAUCCCUAGAACAAACGAAACUCAAGACGGAUGAUCAAAAUGUGAAUGCUUCACUCCUUCUUUAAAUGAGGAAAGAGAAUACCCGUGGCUGGGAAGGGAGAGGCAAAGAUUAAAACAGAGACUGAAGGAACACCCAUUCAGAGCCUGCCCCACAGGUGGCCCAUACAUAUACAGCCACCCAAUUGGACAAGAUGGAUGAAGCAAAGAAGUGCAGACCGACAGGAGCCGGAUGUAGAUCGCUCCUGAGAGACACAGCCAGAAUACAGCAAAUACAGAGGCGAAUGCCAGCAGCAAACCACUGAACUGAGAAUAGGUCCCCCGUUGAAGGAAUCAGAGAAAGAACUGGAAGAGCUUGAAGGGGCUCGAGACCCCAAAAGUACAACAAUGUCAAGCAACCAGAGCUUCCAGGGACUAAGCCACUACCUAAAGACUAUAUAUGGACUGACCCUGGACUCUGACCCCAUAGGUAGCAAUGAAUAUCCUAGUAAGAGCACCAGUGGAAGGGGAAGCCCUGGGUCCUGCUAAGACUGAACCCCCAGUGAA
Rattus norvegicus (Norway rat) is the source of this 1812-nucleotide non-coding RNA. The record is from RefSeq and is a predicted model, not a curated record. Lineage: Eukaryota; Metazoa; Chordata; Mammalia; Rodentia; Muridae.